AUUUGGUGGGUUUUGAGGAAAAUAUAAUCUCUAGAACUACGCAAUACACGAACCACUCCAUUUUAGAACGAACUUCGUACGAACCUGAAUUGUCCAAUUUGAUGGUCCAAUCGAUAUCAGAUUGAGUCCAAAACUUGGGGUACAUCAUAAUGUUGUGGGAGGAGUGAUUUGGUGUGCUUUGAGGAGAAUCCAAUCUCUAGAACUAUGCAAUACCCAAACCUCUCCAUUUCAAAACGAACUUCAUACAAACCCGAAUUGUCCAAUUUGAUGGACCAAUCGAUAUCAGAUUGAGUCCAAAACUUGGGGAACAUCAUAAUAUGGUGGGUGGAGUCAUUUGGUGGGUUUUGAGUGAAAUCUAAUUACUAGAACUAUGCAAUACAUGAACCACUC
This 390-nucleotide long non-coding RNA is filed under the name Prunus persica (peach). RNAcentral describes it as "long non-coding RNA (PPER_LNC007017)". Lineage: Eukaryota; Viridiplantae; Streptophyta; Magnoliopsida; Rosales; Rosaceae. The record is from RNAcentral.